RNAcentral lists this ribosomal RNA (388 nucleotides) under uncultured bacterium. Its description in RNAcentral is "bacterial SSU rRNA". It matches the Rfam family "Bacterial small subunit ribosomal RNA", at positions 29 to 408 of the family's 1533-position model. The record is from RNAcentral.
AUGAACGCUGGCGGCGCGCCUAAUACAUGCAAGUCGAGCGAGAAGACGUAGCAAUACGUUUGUAAAGCGGCGAACGGGUGAGGAAUACAUGGGUAACCUACCCUAGAGUGGGGAAUAACUAGCCGAAAGGUUAGCUAAUACCGCGUACGCUCCUUGGACUUCGGUUCAGGGAGGAAAGCGAUACCGAGGGUAUCGCGCUCUUGGAUGGGCUCAUGUCCUAUCAGCUUGUUGGUGAGGUAACGGCUCACCAAGGCUUCGACGGGUAGCUGGUCUGAGAGGACGAUCAGCCACACUGGCACUGCGACACGGGCCAGACUCCUACGGGAGGCAGCAGUAAGGAAUAUUGCGCAAUGGGCGAAAGCCUGACGCAGCGACGCCGCGUGGGGGA